AUGUGCCCUGUAUUUAACUCUGGCUACACUAGCUUUUAAGUCUGACAAGGAAAGCAAGAGUCUGUAAUUUCAGCUUCUAUAAGGAAGGGAUAUUCUUUUCUUCCCACCAAGGCUCACCAUGUAGAAGAUUCUUCAAACCCAAAAUGUGGUUCUGAUGUCCAGUGGCCAAAACAUCCACUAUGGAAGAACAACUCUGUGUGAGUCUUGGGAUGGUUUUCUGGCACUCUUGGUUCAGUGACUUCUAAGAAGAUGGUUCACAGAGGGAGAAGAAUACAGGCCAAAAUUAGGGAUUCAGUCAGUAUGGACUCCUGUAUUGACAAUCCACAGUGAUUUCCGAAGACUUCCUGGGAGAGUGGAAAUCAGAUUCGGAGUUUGAGAGUUCAGGCCUCCUGGAUAGUGAGGAACG
RNAcentral lists this long non-coding RNA (406 nucleotides) under Homo sapiens (human). RNAcentral describes it as "non-protein coding lnc-RHOQ-2:1". The record is from RNAcentral. Lineage: Eukaryota; Metazoa; Chordata; Mammalia; Primates; Hominidae.